AAAAACUGUAGAUUUCACUAUGAGCUCAAAGUUCACUGUGUACAAUAUCACAUUUGUUCUCACUCCAAAACUACCAACCAAUUAGCAGAAAAGGAAAAAAGAAAGAAUACAACCUCACCCACCAAAAAAGAAAUACACAUUCACAUAGAUAUACAAAACACAUCAAAUAUUAAAUCACAAAUACACACAUCUAUACCUACAAUGAAUACCCAAAAAAAGCUAACUAUGGCUUGCAUCUACAGGAGCACCUGUUCUGGCCUGCGAUAUUCGAUUUGCAUAAAUGGUCACCAAUCGUAACUGUGUGCUGUUCAGCCCUUCCAAGUAUGGCAUAAAUGCUUUGCCCAGCAUGAUGUA
RNAcentral lists this unclassified non-coding RNA (354 nucleotides) under Hevea brasiliensis (rubber tree). Lineage: Eukaryota; Viridiplantae; Streptophyta; Magnoliopsida; Malpighiales; Euphorbiaceae. The record is from RNAcentral.